RNAcentral lists this long non-coding RNA (1237 nucleotides) under Chinchilla lanigera (long-tailed chinchilla). RNAcentral's name for it is "lncRNA (ENSCLAG00000024786.1)". The record is from RNAcentral. Lineage: Eukaryota; Metazoa; Chordata; Mammalia; Rodentia; Chinchillidae.
AUCCUAGCACUCUGGGAGGCUGAUGCAGGAGGAUCACAAGUUGGAGCCCAGGUUGGCAACUCAGUGACUUAGUGAAACUGUCUCAAAUUUUAAAAAGACCAAAAAGGGAUGAGGAUGUAGCUCACUGCUCCAUGGCUUCAGUCCUCAGCACUGUGGGGGGUAGGGUGGGGUGAGAAAGAAAGAAAAGUAAAAUCUUGUUUUGUUUUCUUGUACUGAGGAUUAGGAAUUGAACCCAGGACCAUUGCACAAUUGCCCAGACCUGGCUUUGAUUUAUGAUCCUCCUGCCUCAGCCUCCCACGAUCCACACACACACCAUCACACAUGGUCUCUCUGGUUUUGUUGUUUUUAUUUUUAUAUUAAUUCUUUUUUGAGACAUGAUCUCAAUAUGUAGCUCAGGCAGGCCUUGAACUUACUACUCAUUAUGUAACCUAGACUGUCCUCUUGAACUCCUGGUGAUCCCCCUGCCUCAGACUCCUGGGUGCUGGGAUUACAAACCUGCACCACCAGGCCCGGCUAAAAUCUGUUCUUAGUUCACUUAAACUGAAAAACAAAAAACAAAAACAGGUGACAGGCCGAACUGGAGUUGCCUUAGAUGCUGCUUCAAGAAGAUGGGGUUUAAGGUCAGUUUUUUUUUUUUUUUUCCUCCAAAUUCCUAAAGCCAUGGGCUACUCAGGUAGUACCUCAUAGAAAAAGGUCAGCACCUGAGGAUUCUGACAGCUUUACCUCAGGUGGGCAGAGUAUCGUCUAGGGGGCUGGGAGCCCAAUGGCGGGCCCUGUGCCCCCGAGGGCGCUAGAUCCCUGACGGCUCAAGCUCCAUCUGGGGGUUACGGGCAUCUCCGCGGCGUUUGCCCCUCUUCGCUGGACACCUGGCUCUGCCUCACCGCCCCCAGGGGCGAAAAAGCGCGCGCAUGCGCCCAGCCCGCCCGACCUUGCACCCGCACCUGGCAGCCAAUCACAGGCCGUGCUGGGCGCGCGUGCGGAGGCCCCCGGGCUGCCGGCGGUUGUGGGAGUCUGAGGAGGUGGCGUGGCCCCAGGCUCUCCCCGCGGAGCGCCUUCCGGGCCAGUGCGUCCCCCGCGGUUCGCAGGAGCGGCGGCAGGGACAGUUACCUCAAGGAUGUGACCCCCUGCUGGGAAUAUUGCAAGAUCUUAAAAGUUUCAAUAUAAGGCAGAGGUAAGAGAGGUCCCUGUAAUAGGGAUCAAGUUUGUAUCUUUUCUUCUUCAGUUUUUUGUCUUGUCC